This 497-nucleotide ribosomal RNA is filed under the name uncultured bacterium. Its description in RNAcentral is "partial 16S ribosomal RNA". It matches the Rfam family "Bacterial small subunit ribosomal RNA", at positions 28 to 507 of the family's 1533-position model. The record is from RNAcentral.
GAUGAACGCUGGCGGCGUGCCUAAUACAUGCCAGUCGAGCGAACAGAUAAGGCUUUUUCUUCUUUUCCGUUAGCGGCGGACGGGUGAUUAAUACGAGUCUACCUGACCUAUAAGACUGAGAUAACUUCGGGAAACCUGAUCUCACAUCGGAUAAGAUUUGGAACCGCAUGGUUCUAAAGAGAAAGAUGUUUUUGCUGUCACUAAUAGAUGUUCCCUCGCCGUAUUAGCUAGUUGGUAAGGUAACGGCGUACCAAGGCUACGAUACGUAGCCGACCUGAGAGGAUGAUCGGCCACACUGGAACUGAGACACGGUCCAGACUCCUACGGGAGGCAGCAGUAGGGAAUCUUCGGCAAUGGGCGAAAGCCUGACGGAGCAGCGCCGCGUGAGUGAUGAAGGGUUUCGGAUCGUAAAGCACUGUUAGUAGGGAGGAACAAAAGUGAGAGUAACUGUGCAUGUCUUGACGUUACCUAAAGAGAAAGCAACGGCUAACUACGUG